This 442-nucleotide ribosomal RNA is filed under the name uncultured soil bacterium. RNAcentral's name for it is "bacterial SSU rRNA". It matches the Rfam family "Bacterial small subunit ribosomal RNA", at positions 26 to 518 of the family's 1533-position model. The record is from RNAcentral.
AGAACGAACGCUGGCGGCAUGCCUAAUACAUGCAAGUCGAACGAAGGCUUCGGCCUUAGUGGCGCACGGGUGCGUAACGCGUGGGAAUCUGCCCCUUGGUUCGGAAUAACAGUUGGAAACGACUGCUAAUACCGGAUGAUGACGAAAGUCCAAAGAUUUAUCGCCAAGGGAUGAGCCCGCGUAGGAUUAGCUAGUUGGUGAGGUAAAGGCUCACCAAGGCGACGAUCCUUAGCUGGUCUGAGAGGAUGAUCAGCCACACUGGGACUGAGACACGGCCCAGACUCCUACGGGAGGCAGCAGUAGGGAAUAUUGGACAAUGGGCGAAAGCCUGAUCCAGCAAUGCCGCGUGAGUGAUGAAGGCCUUAGGUUGUAAAGCUUCUUUACCCGAGAUGAUAAUGACAGUAUCGGAGAAUAAGCCCGCUAACUCCGUGCCAGCAGCCGC